GGCUUGUUGGUCUAGCAGCAUGAUUCUUGCUUUGGGAGCAAGAGGUCCCGGGUGCGAAUCCCGGACAAGCCC
Transfer RNA from Pelodiscus sinensis (Chinese soft-shelled turtle), 72 nucleotides. It matches the Rfam family "tRNA". From Rfam's summary of the family: Transfer RNA (tRNA) molecules are approximately 80 nucleotides in length. Their secondary structure includes four short double-helical elements and three loops (D, anti-codon, and T loops). The record is from Rfam. Lineage: Eukaryota; Metazoa; Chordata; Testudines; Trionychidae.